UACAGAGGGGGCAAGCGUUAUUCGGAAUUAUUGGGCGUAAAGGGCGCGUAGGCGGCUUUUCAAGUGACGGGUGAAAUCCCUCGGCUUAACCGAGGAACUGCCUGUCAGACUGGAAGGCUUGAGACCGGGAGAGGUGAGUGGAAUUCCCAGUGUAGCGGUGAAAUGCGUAGAUAUUCGCAAGAACACCAGUGGCGAAGGCGGCUCACUGGCCCGGUACUGACGCUGAGGUGCGAAAGCGUGGGGAGCAAACAGG
RNAcentral lists this ribosomal RNA (253 nucleotides) under uncultured bacterium. RNAcentral describes it as "partial 16S ribosomal RNA". It matches the Rfam family "Bacterial small subunit ribosomal RNA", at positions 524 to 776 of the family's 1533-position model. The record is from RNAcentral.